This 465-nucleotide ribosomal RNA is filed under the name uncultured bacterium. Its description in RNAcentral is "partial 16S ribosomal RNA". It matches the Rfam family "Bacterial small subunit ribosomal RNA", at positions 28 to 507 of the family's 1533-position model. The record is from RNAcentral.
GACGAACGCUGGCGGCGUGCUUAACACAUGCAAGUCGAACGGACAGGCCCCUUUGUUGGUCCUCGAGUGGCGACCGGGUGAGUAACACUUGCGUAACGUUCCCUUACCUUUAGGAUAACUUCAAGUAACUGGGGCUAGUGCCGGUAAGGAAUCCUUUCUGCAUGGUGGGGGUUGGAUAGCUUCGGCGGGUUUGGAUGGACUCGCUGCUUAUCUGCUUGUUGGUGGGGUAGUGGCUUACCAAGGCGUUGACGGGUAGCCGGCCUGAGAGGGCGACCGGCCACAUUGGGACCGAGAGACGGCCCAGACUCCGACGGGAGGGAGCAGUGGGGAAGACUGCACAAUGGGCGGAAGCCGGAUGAAGAAACGCCGCGGGCGGGAUGACGGCCUUCGGGUUGUAAACCGAUUUCAGCAGGGGCGAAGCUUGUGGUGACGGUACCUGCAGAGGAAGCACCGGCUAACUACGUG